AUUGAACGCUGGCGGCAUGCCUUACACAUGCAAGUCGAACGGUAGCGGGCCUUCGGGUGCCGACGAGUGGCGAACGGGUGCGUAAUACAUCGGAACGUGCCCGAUCGUGGGGGAUAACGAGGCGAAAGCUUUGCUAAUACCGCAUACGAUCUACGGAUGAAAGCAGGGGACCGCAAGGCCUUGCGCGGACGGAGCGGCCGAUGGCAGAUUAGGUAGUUGGUGGGAUAAAAGCUUACCAAGCCGACGAUCUGUAGCUGGUCUGAGAGGAUGAUCAGCCACACUGGGACUGAGACACGGCCCAGACUCCUGCGGGAGGCAGCAGUGGGGAAUUUUGGACAAUGGGCGCAAGCCUGAUCCAGCCAUGCCGCGUGCAGGAUGAAGGCCUUCGGGUUGCAAACUGCUUUUGUACGGAACGAAAAGCCUUCUUUUAAUACAGGAGGGUCAUGACGGUACCGUAAGAAUAAGCACCGGCUAACUACGUG
Molecule: ribosomal RNA, 482 nt
Filed under: uncultured bacterium
Lineage: Bacteria
Description: partial 16S ribosomal RNA
Rfam family: Bacterial small subunit ribosomal RNA
Source: RNAcentral